RNAcentral lists this ribosomal RNA (460 nucleotides) under uncultured bacterium. Its description in RNAcentral is "partial 16S ribosomal RNA". It matches the Rfam family "Bacterial small subunit ribosomal RNA", at positions 338 to 795 of the family's 1533-position model. The record is from RNAcentral.
ACUACGGGAGGCAGCAGUGAGGAAUAUUGGUCAAUGGGCGAGAGCCUGAACCAGCCAAGUCGCGUGAAGGACGACGGCCCUACGGGUUGUAACCUUCUUUUGUCAGGGAGCAAUUGAGUCCACGUGUGGUCUUAGGCAGAGUACCUGAAGAACAAGCAUCGGCUAACUCCGUCCCAGCAGACGCGGUAAUACGGAGGAUGCGAGCGUUAUCCGUAUUUAUUGGGUUGAAAGGGUGAGUAGGAGGAAGGUCAAGUCAGCGGUAAAAAUUCGGGGCGCAACCCCGUCGUGCGGUUGAUACUGGUGUUCUUGAGUGUGCGAGAGGUAUGCGGAAUGCGUGGUGUAGCGGUGAAAUGCAUAGAUAUCACGCAGAACUCCGAUUGCGAAUGCAGCAUACCGGCGCCCAACUGACGCUGAAGCACGAAAGCGUGGGUAUCGAACAGGAUUAGAUACCCCAGUAGUC